Molecule: ribosomal RNA, 465 nt
Filed under: uncultured bacterium
Lineage: Bacteria
Description: partial 16S ribosomal RNA
Rfam family: Bacterial small subunit ribosomal RNA
Source: RNAcentral
GACGAACGCUGGCGGCGUGCUUAACACAUGCCAGUCGAACGGAAAGGCCCCUUUGGGGGUACUCGAGUGGCGAACGGGUGAGUAACACGUGAGUAACCUGCCCUUGACUUCGGGAUAACUUCAGGAAACUGGGGCUAAUACCGGAUAGGAAUCCUUGCUGCAUGGUGGGGGUUGGAAAGCUUCGGCGGUUUUGGAUGGACUCGCGGCUUAUCAGCUUGUUGGUGGGGUAGUGGCUUACCAAGGCUUUGACGGGUAGCCGGCCUGAGAGGGCGACCGGCCACAGUGGGACUGAGAUACGGCCCAGACUCCUACGGGAGGCAGCAGUGGGGAAUAUUGCACAAUGGGCGGAAGCCUGAUGCAGCAACGCCGCGGGCGGGAUGACGGCCUUCGGGUUGUAAACCGCUUUCAGCAGGGGCGAAGCUUGUGGUGACGGUACCUGCAGAAGAAGCACCGGCUAACUACGUG